This 492-nucleotide ribosomal RNA is filed under the name uncultured bacterium. RNAcentral describes it as "partial 16S ribosomal RNA". It matches the Rfam family "Bacterial small subunit ribosomal RNA", at positions 29 to 507 of the family's 1533-position model. The record is from RNAcentral.
AGUGAACGCUGGCGGUAGGCCUAACACAUGCAAGUCGAACGGCAGCACAGUAAGAGCUUGCUCUUACGGGUGGCGAGUGGCGGACGGGUGAGGAAUACAUCGGAAUCUACUUUUUCGUGGGGGAUAACGUAGGGAAACUUACGCUAAUACCGCAUACGACCUACGGGUGAAAGCAGGGGAUCUUCGGACCUUGCGCAAUUGAAUGAGCCGAUGUCGGAUUAGCUAGUUGGCGGGGUAAAGGCCCACCAAGGCGACGAUCCGUAGCUGGUCUGAGAGGAUGAUCAGCCACACUGGAACUGAGACACGGUCCAGACUCCUACGGGAGGCAGCAGUGGGGAAUAUUGGAUAAUGGGCGCAAGCCUGAUCCAGCCAUACCGCGUGGGUGAAGAAGGCCUUCGGGUUGUAAAGCCCUUUUGUUGGGAAAGAAAAGCAGCAGGUUAAUACCCCGCUGUUCUGACGGUACCCAAAGAAUAAGCACCGGCUAACUUCGUG